RNAcentral lists this ribosomal RNA (497 nucleotides) under uncultured bacterium. Its description in RNAcentral is "partial 16S ribosomal RNA". It matches the Rfam family "Bacterial small subunit ribosomal RNA", at positions 28 to 507 of the family's 1533-position model. The record is from RNAcentral.
GAUGAACGCUGGCGGCGUGCCUAAUACAUGCAAGUCGAGCGAACAGACGAGGAGCUUGCUCCUCUGACGUUAGCGGCGGACGGGUGAGUAACACGUGGAUAACCUACCUAUAAGACUGGGAUAACUUCGGGAAACCGGAGCUAAUACCGGAUAAUAUAUUGAACCGCAUGGUUCAAUAGUGAAAGACGGUUUUGCUGUCACUUAUAGAUGGAUCCGCGCCGCAUUAGCUAGUUGGUAAGGUAACGGCUUACCAAGGCAACGAUGCGUAGCCGAUCUGAGAGGGUGAUCGGCCACACUGGAACUGAGACACGGUCCAGACUCCUACGGGAGGCAGCAGUAGGGAAUCUUCCGCAAUGGGCGAAAGCCUGACGGAGCAACGCCGCGUGAGUGAUGAAGGUCUUCUGAUCGUAAAACUCUGUUAUUAGGGAAGAACAAAUGUGUAAGUAACUAUGCACGUCUUGACGGUACCUAAUCAGAAAGCCACGGCUAACUACGUG